Oncorhynchus tshawytscha (Chinook salmon) is the source of this 513-nucleotide long non-coding RNA. Lineage: Eukaryota; Metazoa; Chordata; Actinopteri; Salmoniformes; Salmonidae. The record is from Ensembl.
GUCCUUAUAUCUGUACUGUGUCUGAGACUACCUAGACAUCAGGUCCUUAUAUCUGUACUGUGUCUGAGACUACCUAGACAUCAGGUCCUAUUUGGUCUAUACUGGUUUAAAGACUAUACUGGUCACUAUUUGGUCUAUACUGGUUUAAAGACUAUACUGGUCACAAGUCUAUACUGGUUUAAAUACUAUACUAGUUUAAAGGCUAUUCUGGUCACUAGUUGGUCUGUACUGGUUUAAAGACUAUUCUCGUCACUAUUUGGUCUAUACUAGUUUAAAGACUAAUCUGGUCACUAGUUGGUCUAUACCGGUUUAUUCUUUGCCAUUGUAAUGAAAAUGUUGUGCGACAAUCCAUCUGUUUUGUCAUCUUGUGGGACCUUGUUGUCUUGUGUGUGCCUACAUGUAAUCCUGAACAAAUCACUGACGCCUAUACAGUCAAUGUAGAACACUGGAAAUCAGCUAUUACUAUUCUGGAUGUGUCUGUCUGUACAAGAUGUUAAGAAUAGCAAUAGUCGC